This 253-nucleotide ribosomal RNA is filed under the name uncultured Pasteuria sp. RNAcentral's name for it is "partial 16S ribosomal RNA". It matches the Rfam family "Bacterial small subunit ribosomal RNA", at positions 524 to 776 of the family's 1533-position model. The record is from RNAcentral. Lineage: Bacteria; Bacillati; Bacillota; Bacilli; Caryophanales; Pasteuriaceae.
UACGAGUGGUGCAAACGUUGUUCGGAAUUACUGGGCUUAAAGGGUGCGUAGGCGGCUAUGAAGGUCUGAUGUGAAAUGCCACGGCUCAACCGUGGAACUGCGUUGGAAACCACAUAGCUGGAGUGAGACAGAGGUAAGCGGAACUGAUGGUGGAGCGGUGAAAUGCGUUGAUAUCAUCAGGAACACCGGUGGCGAAAGCGGCUUACUGGGUCCUUACUGACGCUGAUGCACGAAAGCUAGGGGAGCAAACGGG